Trachemys scripta elegans is the source of this 719-nucleotide long non-coding RNA. RefSeq lists it as uncharacterized. NCBI's taxonomy places the organism in Eukaryota, Metazoa, Chordata, Testudines, Emydidae. The record is from RefSeq and is a predicted model, not a curated record. The transcript has 5 exons.
CAGCUGUUUCCCCUGCCCCUACUGCAGCUCGGAGACUACAGGCAGAGAUGAAAAAUUCUCCUGAUUUUCCAAAAUAUUGAAUCCAGCAGGAGAGGAGUUUUGAGGAAGUGUGGGCCCAGGCUGCUCAGGCUGCCUAUUACUGUACUUCCAGCGACUUGAAUGUAGAAUUGCUCCUGAACCUGGCACUGUGACGCUAACCAGAACCUAAGCAAACAGCAAAAGGACCCGAGUCCUUUGAGGUCAGACUAUUUCUACAAGGAAGGAGAGGAUAGGUGAAGGGUGGAAGUUAACAGUUGUACCUAAAAGCAAGAAUAGGUACGUGUGCUUAUGGCACAAACUGGCCUGUGCACAAUCAUGGUAAUCACAUAAUACUGUGGAGAUUUCACAUCCCCUACCGACUGUUGCAGAUGCCGCUGCCAUACUGAGUGUGAAAGAUGAAGAUGUUCUGACAACAGCAGAUCAAGAUAAUGCUAAGCAGGUAAAUCUGAUAUUGCAAGUUAUUCUAAAAGAGUGGCCUUUACUAAAUAGUUUUGGUAAGAGAGACAACCUUAUCUAUCAUGACAAACUCCAUGGUUCCAACUGGCCAAGGAAAAUAAAGAAGGCAGUGCAAAGGAAUAGCUUGAAUAGGGGCAGGAAGUUUAUUCACCCCACUGCUUUCUUACUAACCCAGAGCUAAACCUUAAAAGAAGGAAUUUUAUUCCUGGUUCAAAAUUUUGCUC